GUUGUGAUUUGCCUCUUAGGGACACAGGAACCUGCCUUAUAUAGAGUCUGACCAUUGCACCUUAUAGCUCAAUAUUGUCCGCGCUGACUGCCAGCUGCUCUCCAGGGUUUCUAUCAGGAGUUUUUCCAAGUCCUACCUGGAGAUUCCAGGGAUUGAACCUGGGACUGAUGGCUUGCAGAGCAUGUGGUCUAAAACCAGUCCCUUCUACUGACCUAUAGCUCUCUUCCUGUACUCUAGGGGCAGGGAACCUGUGACCCUCCAGGUCCUGCUGGACUACAAGUUAAACACAUAGUAAGAGGCACAGUGAGACUUAGCUUUGAAGUGUUUUGCUCUCCUCUUCAAGCCAUUGGCCAGAGCUCAGCCCAACCCAGAAGAGCCUGCUGACUGGCGAGUUCUAUUGGCUAGCCUGGAGCAUAAAUCAGCCCGAUUUGGAGGGUGGGCUCAAUUUCCGAUGUGCCUAGCAAGGUAGGCUGUGCAAGACAAGCAAUUUAGGGUGUGCACACAAAGGAGGAAACGUUAAUGCCGAUUUAAUUUUUUCAUGACUUUGAAAACAGGACAGAAGGCGUAUUGUUUGAAGUCCAAAUGGGUCAGAGGACACUGUUGUUCAAAAACAAGACAAUCCAGUUUUUUAAAGGAAUGGGGGGCAACCCUAACUACAACUCCCAUCACCUUUGUCCAUUGGUGAUGAUGGCUGGGACUGAUGAGAGACUGAAUUCAGCAGCAUUUUGAGAGCUGCAGCUUCUGCAUCUCUGCUUUAUACUUUCCAGAUCCUCCCCCCCCCCCCAUCUUUGCUGAAGUUUAUAAAGCAACAGGCACCGGCUCUUCCGCUGAGAUGUGCUGGGUAAUCAGUCUCUUUGAACAGCUGAAACCGAAACUAUUCCUCCUCGUAAGCAUUUGCCUUUUACCUUUACCUUCAUUAAAAUUUAUCUCUGCCAUCUUAUUGCGCAACCGCCCUGCUUGAUUAGAUCCUUCUGGAAUUCCUCAGUCCUCACUUGUAUUCUCUGACCCAAAUUAUUUUUGUGUCAUCAGCACAUUCUAUCUCAAUCGUUCCUAUUUUAUACUCAAGAUUAUUGCGGAAUUCAUUGGCCAACUCUAAUAUUCAGAGCACCCACAUAUUCGCUUCUUUUCAUCAUGGCAAAAGACCAUUUAAUCCCCCCUGGUGUUUCUUUUCUCAGUUUUUAAUCCACAAGAGGCCUCUCCAUUUCAGUGUAAAAUUACUUGUUUUCAUUAAUACUCCCCUGUGUGUGACCUCCUCAAUAGCUUUAUGCAAAUCCAAGUAAAUUACAUGCCUUCGUAACCCAUUUUUGAAAGUUCUACUAUUGGUGUUCUGUCGAGCUUUUGAUGUAAAGUUUGCUCUGCCAUUCUUCAGGCCUACACUGGAAGUUUAUUUAAUCAAAUCAUUUCUUGAACUUUCUUAAUUACCCUCCUAGACUAUAGUGGAAGAUGUUGCUUAUCUAGGUCUUAGUAGUGUUUCCCUUUUUUCUUUUAGUGUUUUGCCUUUGGUUUAUUUAUACUUUGAUUUGUUUGACGUCGUGGGGACUCUGGAGAUCUUGAAUGUGUUUUAGUAACUCAUGGGGGAAAGCCUAGAAUAUUUCACCCUCUCUCUAAAUGUGGUUUUAAAAGUACAUCCUGGUAUUCGAAAUCCCCCAUGCGCCAGGUGUGUUUUCCGACUGGCAUGGGUCCAAUUGCGACCACAUGGAGAUCUCUGGGUGCCAGGCUGGUGCCUGGCUGUCCCUGCAGCUUUCUUAAGCAGGUAAACACAAGAGCUUAUUUAUGGCAUUAAUAUCCUACUUUUUUCUUCAAGGAGUCCAUGGUUCACCCCUCCCCCCAAGUUAAUCUCUACAACAACCCUGUGAGGUAGGUUAAGAGGCUGUGACUUGUCUGCAAGGUCACCCAGUGAGCUGCAUGACUGAGUGGGGAUUUGAACCCUGAUCUCCCAGUUCCUAGUCCGACACUCUAGCUACUACGCCACGCUGGCUUCCUAGAGUACUUCUGCGAUGGGGCAGCUCUAUAAAUUAAGUCGGUAAAUAAAUAUGGGGAAAGCAGAAUGUCCCUUAGAGAAGGAUCUUAAAUAUUUUCCCGGCACUUUGAAUUUGUUUUAUUCUGGAUUGUUUUAUUGGAUGUUUUAAUGUGUCGUGAACCACUUGGAUAUUUUUUUCUUAAAAAUAUACAGCAGUACAAAAAUGAAAUGAAUAAUAAUAAGUCUCAUUGAAAGAAAAAUAUGGUGCCUAAACAUUCCAUGGUGGCGACUAUAAACUAGGUUUAAGGUGCCGUUUGGUGAUUAGCUUAUCUGAGUUUCUAACACUGGUAAGCCUAAGCCUAUAACAAGGACCACACACGCAAAAUAGCAAUGGCAAGAAAUUAAAUGGUUUGUUGAAAUGCAGUGUUAGCAAAGGACAAUAGAGGAAUAAUAAUGGUGGCAACUCAACUCGAGGCUUUCUUGGAUGAGACUGGUUAUUCAGAUACUUUCCAAACUCAGGUCAGGCUAGGUUUUGGUCACUUGGGUGGAUGACCUGCACCAGGAACUAGAUAAUGGGGAAUGUAUCCCUGUUGGUUCUGCUGUACUGCUCAGCAGCUUUAAUACCACCAUCAGCUAUGGUUUCCUCCUGGGACUCUUGCUGCUAUGGGACUUGCAGGCACUAUUUUUGGUGAUUCCAGUCCUAUCUUAAAUGUUCCCAGAAGAUGGUGCUGGGUAACUACUGUUUGUGCUCCUCAGGCUACUGUUUUGUCUCUCGUUCUGUAUUUAACACCUACAUAAAAUUGCUAGGAAAUUUCAUCCAGAGUUUUGGAAUAUGGUGCUUUCAAUAUGGCGAUGGCACUGAGUUCUCUCUCAUUUGCAGCUGGUAGUCAAUAAAGCUAUGGAGAUCUUGAACCCGUGUCUGGGCACAGUUAUGGAUUAGAUGUAGGCUAGCAAUCUCAGGUUUACUCGAGUCAGAAGUAUUCAUUUGAAAUGGUGAUCGGAUAUUGGAAAUACUGCCUGCUGUUCUGCCCUUAAGGACCAGUUUGGGGAAGGGGUACUCCUGAAUCCAACAUUGCUUUUGGAUGGCCAGGUGACUGUUGUAGCUAGGAAUAACUUUUGUUCCGUUUCAGUUGGGGCACCAACUGCAUCUUUCCCCAGAGAAAACAGAUCUGGCCACUGUUCCAAGGAUGGAGAAGCUGUUGUUGGUUCCCCAUCAGUCCUGGCCACUAUGAUCAGAGGGGGUGGGACAUGCAACCCAACAGCAUUUGAGGGCACCACAGGUUCCCCAUCACACCAAUAUUAGAUUACAUCCAUAUCGUUAACAGUGCGCUUAUCUGCAUGUGGGACCUGGAUCGCAUGGGACACUGCCCCUUAGCCAGUCAGUGUCUCUGCAGACAAAGGUUAUACAGAGCAAAACAUUUGCACCACUGCUCCUAUCCAUUUUAGAUCCUCAAGACUACGCUAAGGUUUGCUGAAUCCAGUAGGGUCAGAUUAACAUCCUAUACACCUUAAUGUAUAAACUAUUUUUUUAUUCAUGAAGAAUUAUCCCCUCUGAUUUUGAUGAAUAUUGUCUUCUUUUGCUGACAUUUUUCAGCUAUUCUUAUUCAGCAUCCUCAUUUAACCUCUGAAGAUUUUUCAGUAGCCAGAAUCUUACAUUAUCUUACAAAAAAGCCCUAAUGAGCAUGAAAAUAGUAAAUGAAAGCAUGAACAUAAUAAAAUUCCAACACUCUUCCAGCUGCUUUCUAUCUUUCAUCGUCAUCAUCAUCAUCAUUAUUAUCAUCAUUUUCAUCUUCCUAUUUUUAAGUAACUAUGAACUUGUCAAUUCUUGGUUUAUCUGUGCACAGUGGGAAGGUAAUUCUGUCGUUUGCUGUGAACUCUUUUUC
RNAcentral lists this long non-coding RNA (3843 nucleotides) under Podarcis lilfordi (Lilford's wall lizard). The record is from RNAcentral. Lineage: Eukaryota; Metazoa; Chordata; Lepidosauria; Squamata; Lacertidae.